This 1894-nucleotide ribosomal RNA is filed under the name human gut metagenome. Its description in RNAcentral is "bacterial LSU rRNA". It matches the Rfam family "Bacterial large subunit ribosomal RNA", at positions 3 to 1990 of the family's 2925-position model. The record is from RNAcentral.
UCAAGCGAACAAGGGCGCAGGGCGAAUGCCUUGGCACUGGGAGCCGAUGAAAGACGUGAUAAGCUGCGAUAAGCUUCGGGGAGCUGCAAAUAAGCAUUGAUCCGGAGAUUUCUGAAUGAGGAAACUCACCUGGGUUCAUACUCAGGUACGUUAUACUGAACUUCAAAAUAGGUAUAUCGAGGGAACCGCCUGAACUGAAACAUCUAAGUAGGGCGAGGAAGAGACAUCAAACGAGAUUCCGUAAGUAGUGGCGAGCGAACGCGGAAGAGGGCAAACCGAGAGUAGAAAUACUUUCGGGGUACGGACUGCUUUUAAGACUUAAUCUGUUAACCGAACGGCAUGGGAAGGCCGGUCAGAGAGUGUGAGAACCACGUAGGUGAAAACGGAGAGAGCUGCGCAGGAUCCAGAGUACGGCCAGACACGUGAAACCUGGUCGGAAUACGGGGGGACCACCCUCCAACCCUAAAUACUACCCAGUGACCGAUAGCGUAUAGUACUGUGAAGGAAAGGUGAAAAGCACCCCGGGAGGGGAGUGAAAAAGAACCUGAAACCCUGUGCCUACAAGCACCUAGAGCGCGUCAAUGCGUGAUAGGGUACUUUUUGUAGAACGGUCCGGCGAGCGAUUGUAUGCAGCAAGGUUAAGGACUUAAGGUCUGGAGCCGAAGCGAAAGCGAGUUUGAAAAGGGCGUUAAGUUGCAUAUAAUGGGCCCGAAACCGGGUGACCUACCCAUGGUCAGGUUGAAGUGGAAGUAAAAUUCCAUGGAGGACCGAACCGACCUCCGUUGAAAAGGCGGCGGAUGAACUGUGGGUAGCGGAGAAAUUCCAAUCGAACCCGGAGAUAGCUGGUUCUCCCCGAAAUAGUUUUAGGACUAGCCUCAAGUUAGAUACCUGGAGGUAAAGCACUGAAUAGCCUAGCGGCCGAGAGGUUAGCGAAGCUUAUCAAACUCAGAAUGCCAGAGUAUUGAUGCUUGGGAGUCAGACAGUGUCAGAUAAAUGUCAUUGUCAAAAGGGAAACAGCCCAGAUCUACAGCUAAGGUCCCAAAGUCAGGUUAAGUGGAAAACGAUGUGAAGAUACGCAGACAACCAGGAUGUUGGCUCAGAAGCAGCCACUCAUUCAAAGAGUGCGUAAUAGCUCACUGGUCGAGCGUCUUUGCGCGGAGAAUUUAACGGGGCUAAACCUGACACCGAAGCUUAGGCAAUGUAGUAAUGCAUUGGGUAGGGGAGCGUUGUAUACGCGGUGAAACAGUAGCGCAAGCGGCUGUGGAGUGUAUAGAAGUGAGAAUGCCGGAAUGAGUAGCGCGAAUGCAGUGAGAAUCUGCAUGGCCGAAAGCCUCAGGUUUCUGGAGGAAGGUUCGUCCGCUCCAGGUCAGUCGGGAGCUAAGGUGAGGCCUAACGGCGUAGCCGAUGCACAGACGGUAGAGAUUCCGUCACCACCAAAAGAGUUAAACACAGGGACACAUAUGAAGUCUCGGAGCCGGGUGUUGGUUCCGGUAGCGAUCGAGGGAAGUUAGUACCGAAGUCCGGGAUGGAAGAUGGCGAGAAAAGCUGUGUGUAUUUCUGCGGUGCCCGUACCGCAAACCGACACAGGUAGGUAGGAAGAAGAUUCUAAGGCCAACGGGAGAAGGGUUGUUAAGGAACUCGGCAAAUUGACCCCGUAACUUCGGGAGAAGGGGUGCUCCAGAGAUGGAGCCGCAGAGAAUCGGCCCAAGCAACUGUUUACCAAAAACACAGGUUUGUGCUAAAUCGAAAGAUGACGUAUACGAGCUGACGCCUGCCCGGUGCUGGAAGGUUAAGAGGAGAUGUGCAAGCAUUGAAUCGAAGCCCCAGUGAACGGCGGCCGUAACUAUAACGGUCCUAAGGUAGCGAAAUUCCUUGUCAGGUAAGUUCUGACCCG